Molecule: RNA transcript, 1969 nt
Organism: Prosopis cineraria
Lineage: Eukaryota; Viridiplantae; Streptophyta; Magnoliopsida; Fabales; Fabaceae
Gene name: glycerol-3-phosphate acyltransferase, chloroplastic
Exons: 12
Source: RefSeq, a predicted model, not a curated record
ACACCUUGCCAUCCGUUGAGGGAGCUCCACGUGUCCCGCCACCCCCAAUCCUCAAGCGGAACAGUUACAGAGGUAGCAGCUUUUUCUUCCCCCAUUCGCGCCAUCACUCUCUCUCUCUCUCUCUCUCUCUCUCCCGUUCCGACAUGCCCUCCUCCCUCGUCCUGCUUUCUACCUCGCUCUACUCCUUCUUCUGGUCUUCGCUUCUAUAGUUCGUUGACCAUGACUGGUCGUCUCGCUGUGACGCACGCUAUCUCUCUUGUUUGCCCAUCAACUUUGACUAUGUCUAUCCUGAAGCUUUCUUCACCGCCUUCUCCCUCUUCGUCAUUCUUCGCUACUUCUCCCUCUUCUUCUUCUUCUUCUUCUUCUUCUUCUGAAUAUUUCUUCCCUCCUCUGCCUCUUCGAUCCGCUUCGUACCGGAGUUUUGCUUCUUGUUCUUCUACGGCUUCCAAGGUCAGGGCUGAGGAACGCCUUCUCAUGGAUCACGACUCGCCUAAGAACCUUGCUGCUUUCGUUUCUUCUUCCCGCACUUUCCUCAAUGCUCGCACUGAACAAGAGCUUCUGUCUGGAAUCAGGAAGGAAGCAGAAGGAGGAUUUCUACCUUCUAAUGUUGCUUCAGCUAUGGAAGAUGUGUAUCACAACUACAAAAAUGCAGUUUUUCGAAGUGGGGAUCCCCGAGCAGAUGAGAUUGUAUUAUCAAAUAUGACUACUUUUUUAGACCGCAUAUUUAUGGAUGUUGUGGAUCCUUUUGUCUUUAAAUCACAUCAUAAGGCAAAGCGAGAGCCGUUUGACUACUACCUAUUUGGUCAAAAUUAUAUUCGUCCUUUAAUUGAUUUCAGAAAUUCAUACAUUGGCAACGUUUCCCUUUUCUAUGAAAUGGAAGAGAAACUUAAACAGGGACACAAUAUUAUCCUGAUGUCGAAUCAUCAAACUGAAGCAGAUCCUGCAGUUAUUGCUUUGCUAAUUGAAAAGUCAUUUCCAUAUAUUGCUGAAAACUUGACUUAUGUAGCAGGAGAUAGAGUUUUAACCGACCCUCUAUGUAAACCCUUCAGCAUGGGCAGGAAUUUGAUUUGUGUUUACUCUAAAAAGCACAUGAACGAUGUUCCAGAACUCAUAGAAACGAAAAGAAAAGCAAAUACACGAAGUUUGAAGGAAAUGGCUAUGCUUUUAAGGAGUGGCUCGCAGAUAAUUUGGAUUGCACCAAGUGGUGGCAGAGAUCGACCAGAUCCCCUCAAAGGAGAAUGGAUUCCGGCACCCUUUGAUGCUUCUUCAGUAGAUAACAUGAGAAGGCUUGUUGAAAAUUCGGGUGUACCGGGUCAUAUGUAUCCUUUGGCAUUAUUAUGUUAUGAUAUAAUGCCCCCUCCUCCUCAGGUAGAAAAAGAGAUAGGAGAGAAAAGAGUUAUCUCCUUCCAUGGGGUUGGAUUAUCAGUGGCUCCAGAGAUAAGCUUCUCUGAAACUGCUGGUGCUUGUGAAAGUCCCGAAAUGGUUAGUUGAAUUUGACUAGUCACAUUUAUUACUUUGUCAUUACACUUACUUUCUUUUUGACAAAUCAACGAUUACCAUUCUAUCCAAUUCAUGAGCGCUCAAGAAUGAGUAUGGCUCCAUUUCUAAGUGACUUGCUUGUUGCAGAUAAUGUAAAUCUCUUAACAUCCUUUCCUCUAGCAUUAGUUGGCACCGGCAGUCAUGUUGGUACACAUAUCUCACAACUAUUCAUAUUUGUAUAUCACAAAUUUUUUGUGUUUGCCCCCCCUUGUUUACAAACUCCGGCUAUCUUGUGAAAAACAAGAAAGGUUUUAGGCUAAGAUUGCAAGUGACCGCAUCUGUCUGGUUGAGGCUAAAGAGGCAUACACACAAGCCCUGUAUAAUUCUGUGACUGAGCAAUAUAAUGUAUUAAAGUCUGCUGUGCACGGUCAACAAGGAUUAGAAGCAUCAACUCCAAACGUCUCUCUUUCCCAGUCAUAGAAUCAGUUGC